Molecule: ribosomal RNA, 395 nt
Filed under: uncultured bacterium
Lineage: Bacteria
Description: partial 16S ribosomal RNA
Rfam family: Bacterial small subunit ribosomal RNA
Source: RNAcentral
UGGGGAAUUUUGGACAAUGGGCGCAAGCCUGAUCCAGCCAUGCCGCGUGCGGGAAGAAGGCCUUCGGGUUGUAAACCGCUUUUGUCAGGGAAGAAAUCUUCUGAGUUAAUACCUCGGGAGGAUGACGGUACCUGAAGAAUAAGCACCGGCUAACUACGUGCCAGCAGCCGCGGUAAUACGUAGGGUGCAAGCGUUAAUCGGAAUUACUGGGCGUAAAGCGUGCGCAGGCGGUUUUGUAAGACAGAGGUGAAAUCCCCGGGCUCAACCUGGGAACUGCCUUUGUGACUGCAAGGCUUGAGUGCGGCAGAGGGGGGAUGGAAUUCCGCGUGUAGCAGUGAAAAUUGCGUAGAUAUGCGGAGGAACACCGAUGGCGAAGGCAAUCCCCUGGGCCUGCA